GGGAAUCUACCUUUUGCUACGGAAUAACCCAGGGAAACUUGGACUAAUACCGUAUGUGUCCUUCGGGAGAAAGAUUUAUCGGCAAGAGAUGAGCCCGCGUCGGAUUAGCUAGUUGGUGGGGUAAAGGCCUACCAAGGCGACGAUCCGUAGCUGGUCUGAGAGGAUGAUCAGCCACACUGGGACUGAGACACGGCCCAGACUCCUACGGGAGGCAGCAGUGGGGAAUAUUGGACAAUGGGCGCAAGCCUGAUCCAGCCAUGCCGCGUGAGUGAUGAAGGCCCUAGGGUUGUAAAGCUCUUUCACCGGUGAAGAUAAUGACGGUAACCGGAGAAGAAGCCCCGGCUAACUUCGUGCCAGCAGCCGCGGUAAUACGAAGGGGGCUAGCGUUGUUCGGAAUUACUGGGCGUAAAGCGCACGUAGGCGGAUAUUUAAGUCAGGGGUGAAAUCCCGGGGCUCAACCCCGGAACUGCCUUUGAUACUGGGUAUCUUGAGUGUGGAAGAGGUCAGUGGAAUUGCGAGU
This 520-nucleotide ribosomal RNA is filed under the name uncultured bacterium. RNAcentral describes it as "bacterial SSU rRNA". It matches the Rfam family "Bacterial small subunit ribosomal RNA", at positions 120 to 674 of the family's 1533-position model. The record is from RNAcentral.